AAAUACCACAGCCCAGAAAAAAAAAUCCUUAACAUUUGGUGAAGAUCUCUCUAUGAAACAUACAUUAUCUUAAAAUAUUCAAUGUUAUAAAUGAGCUCAUAUUCAACAUAUAUCCUGUAGUCUACUUUUUGAUUCAAUAAUAUUUUGGGAACAUAUAUCCAUAGCAAUAAACAUAUAUCUAAAUAUUUUUAAAUGACAACUGCAUGGAAUUUAUUUAAUCCAUCUUUUACUGAAGGAUGUUUCAGUUGUUUCCAAUGUUUUAAUAUCAUAAACAUCAUGAAAUAUACCUUUGGGCUCAUGUUUGAAGACUUGGACAACUUUUAUUCAUUAGGAUAAAUUCCUAAACAAACUGCUGGGUAAAGGUGUAUCAACAUUUAGGUUUUCAUACAUGUUGCCAAAUUGCCUUCUAGAAAGGUUCUACCAAUUUUCACUCCUGCCAGUAUUGAACAAGAAUUCCAUUUUUGUCAAUUGCUUUAUCUUUGCCAAUAUGGGAGGACAAAAUUAAUAAUAAUAAAAUAAAAUAACACAUCUUUAUUAGCUGUUUUCAUGUUCAAAUAGAGGACACUUUUAAUUUUUAAGUUAUUCUUUUUCAAGGCAGAUAUUUCCUGGACUUGAAUAAAGUGUUUUUGGUUUGUAUUCUCAUUCCAUCAGUAGUAUGACUUAGGGCAAGAGCCAACUCCUUUAUGCUUCAUUUUUUUAAAUCUAAUAGAUCAAGGAAAUGGAAACCGGCUCAAUAGGUUGUUUAAAGCUUAAGAGAUGUGUGAAUGCACCUAGCACCUACUAGACACAACAAUGAGCCUGCAUUUCCGCAAGUAAGCCAUUCCUACCUCCUUACCCCCCAUUCCAAUUAAUGUUUGUCUAUAAGAAUAUUUUAAAAUUCAAGAGCCAAUGUAAAACUCUGUAAAUAUUAUCUUGCUAUUUAUAGAGACGACCAGAAAAGUUUGCAAUGAUGCAGAUGACAUCCAUAAUGAGUCUCUUAAAUGAAGGUUUGGCAGGCAAUACAGGUCUUUUGAAUAAAAAUGUCUCCCAGGAAAAUACUUGCAAGUCAAGCCCACAGACCAUCAAGUAUAUAUAAAUGAUUUGGAACGGGAAGACAGAUACAAAACACAACAAACAUCAGUUUAUUUCCUGCCAGAACACUGGUUUUUCAUUGCUUAGACAUGGUUUGGGAAUAUUUUCCACCAUAGAGAAAAUUUAUAAGCAACACAUACAACGACUAAUCUUCUUUUCGAAGAUAUCUCAGAUAUUAGUAUUUAAAAUUAGUAGCUUUUAUUCAAGAAUGAUGAAAUGGAAUAAUUUAAGCAAUGAUUGAUUAUAUUCUGAAUACUAGAAAGAUAAACUUCGGGUGCAAUCUAGAUGACAAUCUUGAUUCUGAAGAUGCUUUGAAGGACUAUUUGAUUCAUUCAUUUUACAAAUAUUUGUUGAACCAUAUUAUGCACCAGGUACUGUGCCAGCCAUUAGGGAUCCAAAAAUGAGCAGGACAUAGACCUUUCCCUCAGGGAACCUGCAGUUUUGUGGAAGAAGAAAUAUAAUUUAACAGGCAACUCCAGUAUCACGUGAUAGUGACCUGAGGUUUGUGUAGGUGCCUCAGACCCCCGGAAGAUGCCAUCAGUAUCCAAACAAAUGCCCCAAAGAAACCACAUACCAAUAGAAGAAUAGAAUCUGUCACAAUUGCCAGCCACAAAGCACACCAUAAACUACUUAGUGCAUAUGAAUAGCAAAGUGAGGUCCACCAUGGGAUUAUCAGUUACACAACAGGACAAGGAGAAAACCUCUCUGAACCCAUUUGGAAGAGCUGGCAGAGGAGCCAGGACCUAUGACAGGAGAACCACCCUGAGAUUUAUUCACUUACAUAUAAGCUCCAUGAGGGCAGUGAGCUUUGCUGGUUUCCAUCUGCACUGUAGCCCCAGCUCCUAGAAUAGUGCCUGAUACAAAGGAAGCCAUUGCUAAGUAUUUAUUCAAUGAAUGGAAGUUUGGAUGGAUGGAUUCAUUUAACUCAUAUCAAGUAACUGCAGUGGGUGCCUGUAGCAGAGAAGUUGUAGCAGAGGAGUAGGAUAGUGAUAAAGGCAGGAGACAUGGUACCUACUAAAAAUCUGUGGAAUCAACAAAUGACUUUUCACAUCCAUCCCUUUUCAUAGGAGCUUGAACUGGCAGUGACUCCAUUGUGCAAUUUGGAACACAAGAAAAAGCAUGGAUUUUGAAGUCAGACAAAUCAUUUACUUCGGUUGCAUUGGUGUGUGGUUCAAAUAACAGAUGUCACUGAACUGUUGACUUGGGUAGAUGCCCUGUCUUCCUUAUUAAACUGUGUCUUACUUUGUACCUUAGUAGCUAAUGCAGUGCUUUGAUUCUAGCAGAUGCUUAAUAAAUGCUACUCAUGAUAAACCUCACUUCCUGUACUCAUCAGUCCUCAGGUCAUUAAAGUUGUUUUACACAGGGUGAUGUGCCACCCUAUAAAACUACAAUAUUAUGCAGUGAGUCACAGAUCAUUACAACUCCCAAGAAGUCAAUAAAAUUGAUUAUAUCAGAAAUCCCAUACCUGUUUUUAAAAACAACAAAAUGUUUUCUCCAUGUGUUUGGGCAUUAUAAAAUGGGACAAAAGCCUGAAGCUUAGUAAAUAGGAUCUGCCUGGAGGAUUGCUCAGAGUGCAUUACAAAAAUGAGAGUAAAUGAAAUUAUGAAUUCAUGUUUGCUGAUCAGAGGGAACACCCGGAGACUCAUUCUUGCUUUCUUAUGUAUCUUGGUCUCCACAUCAUGAAACUAUAAAGGUAUCCUCUUAUUACCCAUAGAAAGUUGCAACAUUUAAUUCAUAUCAACUAACGCUUAUUAAUACACCCACUAGAAGGCAAAUCUAGUCAGGAAGACUGAAUCACUCAACAGAAGAUUUGGUACUUCCCAGCCACAGUGGCAUCUGCUUACCACAACGUUAAUCAGGUCACUGCCAGCUUAUCUGACUUCAUCUUUGAGGUGUCCAAAAUAGUUAUACUCUAGAAAGAUGGUCUAGUCAAUAAGAUGAUUGGUCAACAAUCUUUCUAGAGCUCCCACUCUGUGCUAACCAACAUCCUAUGUAAUAGGAUGAAUAUAACAGAAUGAAAAGAAAGGAUCCUUUUCUCAAAAAACAUACCAGUGAUGGAAAGGUAGGAUCUACCAAUCUAUAACAAUUUAAGAGCACCUUAAGGCAGCGAUUUUCACGGAUGUGAAGAGCGGGCUUCACAUCAUUGGCAUCAGCAUCACCUGGGAACUCAUUAGAAAGCAAAAUUUCUAACCCCAGACCUAUUGCAUCAGAAGCUGGGUGGACCCAGCAAUCUGCGUUUUUAACCAGCUUUCCAAGUCAUUCUGAUGCAUACUACAGUUUGAGAAACCCUGCUUUAAGUCAGCUAAGCAAGUUCAAAUCAACAUAAUACCCACAGAUUAUAUGUGCGGAGUAACUGCAUGGGCCUGGUGUUAAUCAGAGCUUCCUUAAUGACCCUUCAUUGAAUGUAUUGGUGGGGGUCCAUAUUCUAAGUGAAAAACAGUUUAACACAGAGUCAAUUCUUGAUGAUCUCUUUUGUGAAUCAGAGAGCUCUGAGCAGCCAGAUACCGUACAGAGCAGUGGUGGGCAUGGGUUCUCCCAACUGCUUACCGAGGGCCUGUAUAAAGCCUGUCAGUCAGACUAAGACUUACUGUGGUUUUAAUCUCACUUCGUGCUUUUUUGGAAAAUUGUAACUCCAUGUUUCUGACCUUGGUCUGUUAAUCUCACCCUGAUUCCUGAUGAUUUUCUUCUUUGAUUAGUUGUUCUUCAACAUGGAAUCUAAUGUGAAUAUGAUUAACCCAACCAUACUGACUCACCAAAAAAAUAAAAUAAAACAAAAGACAUGAGCCUAUUCCUCUGCUGGACAAGAAACUAGAGGUUUACCCUUCUAUUACAAGCUCCUUGGAGAGGAAAAUUCAGUAAAUCCUCUGAAAAUGGUUUUCUUCAGUGUUUCUAUCCAUCAUCAUAAGGAGUCAUUAUCCUCCCUUUGUUAAUUUAUUCGGCAAUGUUUAUUAUAGCUGAAUUAUUGAUUAUGUGGCUUCAUAGGGGUAAUUUAAUUCAACUUAAUUUAUAAGGAAACACCUGCUCUGUGUAGGAUGACACAUUAGGCUCUGAAGAGAUGGCCCUUACACACUCAGGGAGUAUGACAGACAGAGUAAUGGUCCCCCGAAGAUGUCCACGUCCCAAUUCCAGAAACCUGUGAAUAUGUUACUUUACACGAGAAAACGGACUUUGCAGGUGUAAUUAAAUUAAGGAUCUGAGACACAGAGAUUUUCCUGGCUUAUAUGAGUGGGCCCAGUGAAAUCACAAAGGUCUUUAUAAAAGACAUGCAGAAGGGCCAGAAUGAGAGGAAGAGGGUAGUGAAGAGAUGCGGUGAGACAGACAGAGAGAGGGAGAUCUGAAAUGUCACGUUGCUGGCUUUGAAGACGGAGGAAGAGGCCAUGAGCCAAAGAAGGCAGGUGGCCUCUAGAAGCUGGAAAAGGCAAGGCAGUGAGUUCUCCCCAACAGCCUCCAGAAAGAAUGCUAAGGAAUUCUGACCUCCAGAACUGCAAAAUAAUUAAUUUAUGUUACUUUAAGUCACUAAAUUUGUGAUAAUGUGUUACAAAAACAAUAGAAAACUAAUAUAGGGAGUUUACAACCUAGUAAAAGAGAUGAAGGCUGGGCGCGGUGGCUCACGCCUGUAAUCCCAGCACUUUGGGAGGCCAGGCAGGCGGAUCAUGAGGUCAGGAGAUCGAGACCAUCCUGCCUAACAUGGUGAAACCCCGUCUCUACUAAAAAUACAAAAAAUUAGCCGGGCGUAGUGGCGGGCGCCUGUAGUCCCACCUUUACUCGGGAGGCUGAGGCAGGAGAAUGGCGUGAACCCGGGAGGCAGACCUUGCGGUGAGCCGAGAUUGUGCCACUGCACUCCAGCCUGGAUGACAGAGCGAGACUCCGUCUCAAAAAAAAAAAGAGAUAAGACAAGCAGCUUUGAUAUAAUUCAGAAAGUGAUAAAUAUAAAAUAGAAAUACAAAGAAAUUGCUGUGGAAAUACUGAUAAAGGGAGUACUUCUGGUUGUAGAGAUUAGGGAAGCUUCCAGGAGGUGGCUGUUUUGUAGAGCUCUGAUGAUUGGUAGGAUUUCAAAAGAGGGAGAUCCAAGAAACAGCAGGAAUGAAGGCCCAGAGUUGAAAGGUGUAGAUUAAACAAAAAGCUGACCUAGGCCCUUGACCAGCCAUUUUCUCAGGAAUAAAAAUUACUUGAUGGACAUUUCACAUAGUCUCCUUAAGAUAUAAUAGGUCACUAAGUCUGUUUUUAAAAAGCUGUAAUAAUAGUCAAUACAGGAUAAACUGUCCUAAGAGUUUAGGAUAGAUCUUGGGAAGAAAUCCCCUUUCAACCCAGAGCAUGCCGUAGCUAAGGGUGAACCUGGCUCAUUUUCAGACAAGCAGGCUAGUCAGGGAUUAACCAAAAAACAAGAGGGGUCAAUCAGAAUAACAAGGUGAUUCUUUCCAAAGGUAUCUAUUAACAUUUACAAAUUAGACAUUUCCUACAACCCGUGCAAGCAAGCUAAACCAAACGAUGGAAUCCAACUGAAUGUUCUUGGCAGAUGGAGGCUCUGAGGACUCACACUGAGGAUGAUGGAGAGGACAUUACAAUCCAGUCCCUUUUUGGUAGGUUUUGAUUGUUUUGUUUGGCUGAAGUCAGAACCCAUGAUCUUAAGGAAUUUUGAAUGGCUCUAAUUGAGCGUGGAUUUGGUCAUGAGACAAUUAUCCUGAUAAAACAAUUUUUUAAGGCACUCUGUUUGAGGGUUUGGGAAAAAAGAAAUGGAAUUAUCCAGAUUGUUUAUCUGCAUCACCCAAACUCACUAUUGAUCAUUCUCUUGGCAUUGCUUAUGGAGCCAAUGUCUUCCCAAGGUCAUACCUAUGCUCAGGUGCCUAUGCAAUACUUGCUUUUU
This 5935-nucleotide long non-coding RNA is filed under the name Homo sapiens (human). RNAcentral describes it as "PREDICTED lncRNA (TCONS_00063864)". The record is from RNAcentral. Lineage: Eukaryota; Metazoa; Chordata; Mammalia; Primates; Hominidae.